This 500-nucleotide ribosomal RNA is filed under the name Vibrio coralliilyticus. RNAcentral describes it as "bacterial SSU rRNA". It matches the Rfam family "Bacterial small subunit ribosomal RNA", at positions 103 to 599 of the family's 1533-position model. The record is from RNAcentral. Lineage: Bacteria; Pseudomonadati; Pseudomonadota; Gammaproteobacteria; Vibrionales; Vibrionaceae.
CGGGUGAGUAAUGCCUGGGAAAUUGCCCUGAUGUGGGGGAUAACCAUUGGAAACGAUGGCUAAUACCGCAUAAUAGCUUCGGCUCAAAGAGGGGGACCUUCGGGCCUCUCGCGUCAGGAUAUGCCCAGGUGGGAUUAGCUAGUUGGUGAGGUAAUGGCUCACCAAGGCGACGAUCCCUAGCUGGUCUGAGAGGAUGAUCAGCCACACUGGAACUGAGACACGGUCCAGACUCCUACGGGAGGCAGCAGUGGGGAAUAUUGCACAAUGGGCGCAAGCCUGAUGCAGCCAUGCCGCGUGUAUGAAGAAGGCCUUCGGGUUGUAAAGUACUUUCAGCAGUGAGGAAGGCGGAGUCGUUAAUAGCGGCCUCGUUUGACGUUAGCUGCAGAAGAAGCACCGGCUAACUCCGUGCCAGCAGCCGCGGUAAUACGGAGGGUGCGAGCGUUAAUCGGAAUUACUGGGCGUAAAGCGCAUGCAGGUGGUUUGUUAAGUCAGAUGUGAAA